UAGCUCAGGCGGUAGAGCACUUGACUUUUAAUCAAGGUGUCCGGAGUUCGAGUCUCCGG
This 59-nucleotide transfer RNA is filed under the name Clostridiaceae bacterium. Its description in RNAcentral is "tRNA-Lys". It matches the Rfam family "tRNA", at positions 8 to 63 of the family's 71-position model. Rfam says of the family: Transfer RNA (tRNA) molecules are approximately 80 nucleotides in length. Their secondary structure includes four short double-helical elements and three loops (D, anti-codon, and T loops). Further hydrogen bonds mediate the characteristic L-shaped molecular structure. tRNAs have two regions of fundamental functional importance: the anti-codon, which is responsible for specific mRNA codon recognition, and the 3' end, to which the tRNAs corresponding amino acid is attached (by aminoacyl-tRNA synthetases). tRNAs cope with the degeneracy of the genetic code in two manners: having more than one tRNA (with a specific anti-codon) for a particular amino acid; and 'wobble' base-pairing, i.e. permitting non-standard base-pairing at the 3rd anti-codon position. Lineage: Bacteria; Bacillati; Bacillota; Clostridia; Eubacteriales; Clostridiaceae. The record is from RNAcentral.